CGUGCAGGACGCCCACCAGCAGACCCAGGUGGGCACAGGGUGGGCGCGGGGUGGGCGCAGGGCGGACACGGGCACCUGUCUCAUCACUGGUCACUGCUGCAGGCCCUCUGUGAGGAGAUCCGCGGGCGGCUGGGAGAGCUGGACGGUGCCCUGGAGAGCGGGCAGCGGGUCCUGGAGAUGGUGACAGGGGAGGAGGCCCAGCUGACGCAGGAGAAGAUGGAAUCGCUGAGGAUGAGGUACCUCAUCGUGGGCCAGAGCAGUGCUGACACCGCACACCGGCUGGGGCAGACCCUGGAGGCCUCGUCUCGCCUGGGCACGGCCCCUGAGGACCUGGCACUGUGGCUGAGCCGCAUGGAGAAGGAGCUGGGCGAGCAGGAGGGCCAGCAGGAUGGCCAGGAGCCCUCAGUCACUGCCAGUGACAAGGAGAAGUUUGAGCAGGUCCUGGAGUCCCAGCUCAGCCGUGUGGCUGGGCUGGGCGAGCGACUGGAGGAGAUCGGCCGCGUGCAGCUGGAUGCUGAGGCUCUGCGCUCGCAGCUCUCCGAGCAGAAGCUGCUCUCCGCCGAGAUCCUGCACUGCCGGGGCCUGGUUGAGCGUCUGCUGGGCUUCUCGGAGCCGCUGCUGCGCUGCUGCCCCGAGCCCCUGCGGCAGCGCCUUCAGCCGUCCGUGCAGGCGCUGCGGGAGCGCACGGAGCAGCUCUCCCUGCGCAGCGGCGCCUGUGCCGUGCAGCUGGAGCACGCCCAGUCCCUGCUCGCACAGUUCUCCGAGGCCCUCGAGGAGCUGCUGCCCUGGCUGGAGGAGACGCAGGCUCUGGGCGUGCAGCUCUCCCCCAACGCCAUCAGCUACGAGGCCUUCAAGGAGCAGCAGGCGCUGCUGCAGGUGCGGGCAGGGCAGGGGCAAAAGGGACAAAAGGGACUCGCUCGGCCGCCCCCAGGCUGGGAGAGGUGACGGGACGGGGGAGGCAUCGCCGUGGGCACCAUGGGGCUGGAGCGAACAGGAGUCCUGUGGGGGCAGCACCCAGCACACGUCCCUGUGGGGCACAGCCCGAGGGGCACAGCCCGUGGGGCACAUCCCGUGGGGCACAUCCCGUGGGGCACAUCCCUGUGGGGCACAUCCCGUGGGGCACAUCCCGUGGGGCACAGCCCUGCAGGGCACAUCCCGUGGGGCACAGCCCGUGGGGCACAUCCCAUGGGGCACAUCCCAUGGGGCUCAUCCCUGUGGGGCACAUCCCGUGGGGCACAGCCCUGUGGGGCACAUCCCGUG
This 1260-nucleotide long non-coding RNA is filed under the name Cyanistes caeruleus (blue tit). RNAcentral describes it as "lncRNA (ENSCCEG00000019853.1)". The record is from RNAcentral. Lineage: Eukaryota; Metazoa; Chordata; Aves; Passeriformes; Paridae.